This 253-nucleotide ribosomal RNA is filed under the name uncultured bacterium. RNAcentral describes it as "partial 16S ribosomal RNA". It matches the Rfam family "Bacterial small subunit ribosomal RNA", at positions 524 to 776 of the family's 1533-position model. The record is from RNAcentral.
UACAGAGGUCUCAAGCGUUGUUCGGAUUCAUUGGGCGUAAAGGGUGCGUAGGUGGCAGGGUAAGUCGGAUGUGAAAUCCCGGGGCUCAACCUCGGAACUGCAUUCGAUACUGCUUUGCUUGAGUACUGGAGGGGAGAUUGGAAUUUACGGUGUAGCAGUGAAAUGCGUAGAUAUCGUAAGGAAGACCAGUGGCGAAGGCGGAUCUCUGGACAGUUACUGACACUGAGGCACGAAGGCCAGGGGAGCAAACGGG